Molecule: long non-coding RNA, 7500 nt
Filed under: Ananas comosus (pineapple)
Lineage: Eukaryota; Viridiplantae; Streptophyta; Magnoliopsida; Poales; Bromeliaceae
Description: long non-coding RNA (ACOM_LNC036921)
Source: RNAcentral
CUUCUCCUAUAGCUUUAUUAGUCGACAUGUAUCGUUGGUGUUGCACGUUACUAUUGUUUAGCUCAAAUCCAUGGGUAUGCAUGUUUUAGACAUAUAAACUAAAUUUGGAGCAUGUUAUUAGUUAUUAUUAAUUAUACAUGUUGGACUUGGAUUUGACAUAGGAGAAAACUAGCGUUCGGGACCUAUGAUAUGUUAAACUACCUGAUUUAGCCUUAGGGGCCGUUGUACUUUUAUACUGUUGCAGUAUCCUUGUGGUGAGUACCCCAGGUAGUUCAGUUUACUGUUACGCUCGUGCUAGGAUGCUGAGCCUAUUUUUACAACAGUGUUUACACUGUUCCGGAUUAGUGGGUGCCGUAGUGGUUGACGGCGGACCCGAAUUUAAUUGUUUUGAUAUCAGAUUAUGCCGAGGGCACGUGAGUAGUGGUUGAUAGUCCAGCUAGAUCCUAUUUACUUGACCUGAGCCUGUGAGAGCCAGAAUGAAAUGACAGAGACAUUUGUAACUCGUGGGUCGCACUCGCGAAUGCCAUUCCGGAAUGAGGUUUCAGUGCGAUGAGUGUCGCAGUUUCUGUUGGAUAGUUCUUAUGCCGGCCACCCCCGGGGUGGUGUACGGCGUAGUGAGAUACAGGCAGGGUGGGCCCGUUUGGGCAGGCCGGGUGAGAUAGUGAGUGACUUUUACUUGGUUAGUGUAGAGCAUGCUAGUGUAGCAAUAUGUGGCUGUAGAUUGCUUUCCAGCUUUUUCCUACUAGCUUUGUUUCUUUCUGUAGACUUAGUGGGUGGACCGAUGAUGUUGAGGGCGAUACCCACUGAGAAUUACUUGUUUUUACAGUAGUUCUCACGCCCAGUUGUUAACACUGUUUUGCAGAGCCAUCGUCUUCAGCUGCUGCUGCUGUUGCCGAUUCUGAUCGUGGCAAGGGCGUCCCGAGUUAGAGCCCUACCAGACGAGUCGCUGUGAUAGAGGAGCACUUGCUGCAGGUAGUUGUACUUUUAUUAUUUUUGAGUUUAUGUACGUACUGAUGUAUAACUCGCUGGAGCGAGUACUUUUGUACAGAGUUUUCUUGUAUGUAUAUGAGACUUAUUUUGUUCUACCUGUUUAGUUUCUUUACAGCUCUAUACUACUGGUUGUAGUAUUGUAUGUAUUACAGUUCUAGCUACGCUUCGUAUACAGAAAAAAUUCUUUGUAUACGGCGGAUUUGUCGGCGUGUCCGGGGAACGUGUUAAUCCGGGGCGUGACAGAUUAAGCUGGUAUCAGAGCUUAGCAUUAGGUCAUUGGGACCUAGAAAACCUAAGUUUGGCAAAUCCCAUGAGGGCAAGACGUGAGAGGCGUGAUUUAUUGCGAAAGUCAAUGAUUAACUAUUUUAACUCAUCCUUGAGAAAAGUGAGUGACUGGAGGAGUGCCUGUUUUGGCCUGCAAAAUUAUGUUGGCUGCAGACGACAUAAUUUUGAGGAGAAAUAGGUGCCGCCUUCUGGACUUUCGUUGAUUGGGUCGAGAGUGUUUGUGGUUAUCUGACUUUGUUUUAUUCUUUGCAGCUAUGUAUCGUCGCCGAGGCCGACCGUUGUUGCGGGAGCGUGCACAGCUGGCGCAGGAUCGUGCCAGAUCUCCCGAGAUACCAGUACAGGUGGAGCAGAGUGCCCGACUAGAGGCGAGUGCACCGCUUGUUGCAGAGCAGAGUGCCCGACCGGAGACGAGCACACCUCUUGACUUGAGCGCACAGUUGGCUGCCUUGACUGAGGUGACGAGGCGGCAGAGCGAGUUGUUGGAGAGAAUGUACGAGAGGUUGGCUCCACCCUAGAGCACAGUACCAGAGCAGCCAGUUCCACCUCCGUCUAUACCAGCAGCAGUACUCCCGGCAGUGGCAAUUCCUUUAGCGCCAGUUGCACCUGUUGGUGAGGCACCAUAGUUGACCGAGGCUAAGCAGGAGCAGAUGGCUGAGAGACUUGCUCAUUUUCAUCAUUUUGAUCCACCAACCUUCGACGGUAGAUGUUCAGAGGCCUGGGUAGUUGAGGACUGGGUCAGCACGAUGGAGAAGUUAUUUGAGGAUCUUUUCAUCCCAGAGCGGGAGCAGGUACAUCUGGGCGUUCACUGUUUGACUGGGGAUGCCCUUGCUUGGUGGCGGAGAAUGAGACAAGAUUACAGGUUGGUGACUCUACAAAUGAGAUGGGACGAGUUCUGUGGAAUGUUGCAUGGGAUGUAUUUUUCCAACAGUGUGAAACAGAAGCUCGAGGUGGACUUGAAGAGGAUCCAGCAGGGAGAUCGAUCAGUGCAGGAUUAUAUUCGGGAGUUCACUCGACUCCUGAAUUGUGUGCCGUUUGUGGAUAGGGACGAGGCGCACAGGGUGUAUCUGUUUGAGCGGGUUUGAGACCCGAGAUUUUCAGGUUCAUGCAUGCGCAGAGGUUGAGGACCUUGGACGGGUCGAUAGAGCAGGCUCUUUGGGUUGAGAGAGGUGAUGCAUCUAAUCGGGAGAGGACGCAGGCAGUGGGGCAGAGUCAGGAUAGGAAGUGCCCAGCUCCAGAUGAUGGUGGACAAUCGAGCAGCCGGCGUCCGCCGAGACCUCCACGAUCAUGUUCUCAGAGUCGUGGGUUCUCGGGGGUUAGCGUUCUGGGGGACCUCGGCAGCAGAGGCAGUCGCAGGGGUCAAUGCAGUGUGUGAUUUGCGGGGGAUCACACUGGGCCCGACAGUACGAGCAGCGUGAGGGUCGUUGUUUUGGAUGCGUACAGUCAGGGCACAUGAGGUCAACUUGUCCCCGAGUGGUAUCACCAGCACCAUCGACCGCUUCAGCAUCACCAACACCUCAGCAGUCUUAUGGAGCACCACCGCAGAGCUACCGCCGGGAGGAUAGGGUAUCUGCACCGCGUCAGGGUGAGCGGCGACAGCAGGCUCCGAGCGGCAGGGUUUAUGCAGCCCAGGUGGAGGACUCUACAGCAGCCGACAGAGUAGUGGCAGGUAUUGUUCUAAUUUCUGGUAUUCGAGCUCGUACUCUUUUCGAUACCGGUGCAUCGCAUUCUUUUGUUAGCCGAGCAUUUGCUCUGUUGCAUGGUCUAGAGUUAGGAGCUUUGUUACAAGCACUAGAAGUGCAGAUCUCCGACCAUGUGUUACAGGUUGCAGAGUGUUGUUGGUCGUGCCCGGUGCAGUUGGAUUCAUGGAUCCUGCCCGCAGACCUGUUGGUUUUAGGGCAGCUGCAGGACUUCGACGUUGUGCUCGGUAUGGAUUUGUUGGCACGGUAUUAUGCUACUAUCGACUGUGGAGCGAGGUCUGUGACGUUCUGCGAGCCAGGCCAGGAGGAGUUCACUUUUAGAGGCUGUAGGAGUAUUUUGUUUGCCACUUGGAUAUUUUCGGCGAGGGCUUGACAGCUGAUGAGUAGAGGAUGCGUUGCUUUUCUGGCGACUGUGACAGAGGUGCCUACGGCGGCGCUGGGACUCGAGGAUAUCCCUAUAGUCCGUGAGUUUCCGGACGUGUUUCCCUCGGAGUUGACGACGUUGCCGCCGGAGAGGGAGAUAGAGUUUGUGAUUGAUGUAGUUUCUGGAACUGCACCAAUCUCAAAGGCACCUUACAGGAUGGCACCGGCGGAGCUGAGAGAGCUAAAGGCGCAGCUUCAGGAUUUGAUGGAUAAGAGGUUUGUGAGACCCAGUGUGUCACCUUGGGAAGCGCCGGUGUUGUUUGUAAAAAAGAAGGAUAGUUCGCUCAGGUUGCGCGUGGAUUACCGGGAGCUGAAUAAGGUGACUAUCAAGAAUAAGUACCCUUUGUCGCGCAUUGAUGAUCUAUUUGAUCAGCUGCAAGGAUCUUAUGUCUUCUCGAAAAUUGACCUCCAGUCAGGUUACCACCAGUUGAGGGUGAGGGCCGAGGAUGUCCCCAAGAUGGCUUUUGGGACUCGAUAUGGGCAUUAUGAGUUUACGGUGAUGCCGUUUGGAUUGACGAAUGCCCCUGCCGCAUUCAUGGAUUUGAUGAACAGGGUGUUCAAGCCGUUCUUGGAUAGAUUUGUGGUGGUUUUCAUCGAUGAUAUUCUGAUUUACUUCUGUAGUGAUGUUGAGCAUGAGGAGCAUUUGAAGAUUGUGCUACAGCUUCUGCGAGAGAAGAAGCUAUAUGCCAAGUUAAAGAAGUGUGAGUUCUGGCGGGAGGUAGCUUUCUUGGACCACGAAAUUUCUGCAGAGGGAGUAGCAGUGGACCCGAAGAAAAUUGAUGCUAUUCGGGAUUGGCCCAGACCGACGACGGUGACAAAGGUGAGGAGUUUCCUUGGACUUGCAGGUUAUUAUCGUCAAUUUGUGGAAGGCUUUGCGAAGCUUUCCACACCACUCACUCGACUGACUCGUAAAGGAAUUAAGUUUAUCUGGAGUGAGGAUUGCCAAAGGAGCUUCGAUGAGUUGAGACAGAGGUUGACGUCAGCUCUUAUCCUUGCCCUUCCAGUGAUGGGGGAAGGAUUUGUGAUUUACAGUGAUGCAUCGCACAGUGAUUUGGGCUGUGUGUUGAUGCAGCAUGGUAGGGUAAUUGCUUAUACUUCACGACAGUUAAAGGAUUACGAGAAGAAUUACCCUACGCAUGACUUAGAGCUUGCUGUGGUAGUCUUUGCUUUAAAGUUGUGGCGGCAUUACUUGUAUGGCGAGCACUGCGAGAUUUUCACCGAUCAUAAAAGUCUCAAGUAUCUGUUCACCUAGAGGGAGUUGAAUCUGAGGCAACGCCGGUGGUUGGAGUUACUGAAGGAUUAUGACAUUAGUAUUCAGUAUCAUUCCGGUAAGGCGAAUGUAGUGGCAGAUGUGUUGAGCAGGAAGGCAGUGUAGAGCUUGAGUUUGUUGAUCACUCAUCAGAAGCCAUUACGUGAAGAGUUGUAGCGGCUGAGGCUCGAGGUGGUGUCCCCUGGAUUUACUGUGAGACUGAUGUCUAUGGUCUUGCAGCCUACUCUGUUAGACAGGAUCCGGGAGAAACAAAGUGGAGAUCCACACUUGUCGAGGAUUCGAGAGCAGCUAGAUAGGAGGCAGGCUGAUGGUUUUGCUGUGGACGGUUCGGGAGUACUGCGGUACAGGGACCGAUUGUGUGUGCCUGUGGAUUCAGAGAUCCGAGAGGACAUUUUGAGGGAGGCUCAUUGUUCACCUUAUACGGUUCACCCUGGAGGAACUAAGAUGUAUAAGAAUUUGAAGGUACAGUUCUGGUGGAACGGAAUGAAGAGGGACAUUGGCAGAUUUGUAGCUCACUGUCUAACUUGCCAACGGGUAAAGGCCGAGCAUCAGGUACCUGCUGGCAAGCUUCAAAGUCUGUAAGUGCCCAAAUGGAAGUGGGAGCAGAUCAUGAUGGAUUUCGUCAUAGGGUUAUCUAGAGCACAGGGUGGCUACGAUGCUAGUUGGGUGAUAGUGGACAGACUAACUAAGUCUGCUCACUUCCUACCAGUUCAGACCACCUGGUCCAGAGAGAGACUCGCACAGGUAUACCUGGAUGAGAUUGUGAGGCUGCAUGGUAUACCAGUGUCGAUUGUAUCAGACAGGGACACGGGAUUUGUUUCGCAUUUCUGGAGGAGUUUGCAGACAGCCUUGGGUACACAGCUGCAUUUCAGCACGACAUUUCACCCACAGACAUAUGGUCAGUCAGAGCGGACCAUUCAGACUCUGGAGAACAUGCUGAGGGCAUGCAUCCUAGAUUUUGGAGGAGGGUGGUAUCGAUAUUUGAGGUUGGUUGAGUUUGCGUACAACAACAGCUAUCAAACGAGCAUUCAAGUGGCUCCGUUUGAGGUGUUGUAUGGACGCAAGUGUCGAUCCCCUUUAUUUUGGAAUGAUGUGGGUGAGAGGAAGACAGUUUGGCCUGAAAUUUUGCUAGAGGCUGAGAAAAAGGUGAGAGUUGUUCGACAACACCUUUUGACAGCCCAGAGUCGCCAGAGGAGCUAUACCGAUACCAGGAGACGAGACUUGGAGUUUUAGGUUGGAGAUCAUGUAUUUCUUAAAGUCUCGUAGUCCAGAGGGAUUCGCAGAUUUGGAGUGCGUGGAAAGCUCAGUCUACGUUUCGUUGGCCCUUUUGAGGUAUUGGAGCGAGUUGGACUAGUUGCUUACAGGAUUGCUUUACCUCCCCGACUAGCUGGUAUUCACGAUGUGUUCCACGCCUCGGCAUUGAGGAGAUAUGUUUUCGAUCCUUCUCACAUAAUUGACUUCACUCCACUAGAGAUUGGCGAGGAUUUGAGAUAUGAGGAGCGACCGGUGCGAAUUCUUACUCGUGAGACGAAAGAAUUGCGCAACCCGGUUAUCUCGUAUGUAAAAGUGCAGUGGAGUAAUCACGAGGAGCGAGAGACGAUUUGGGAGCCAGAGAUGGUGAUGAGGGAGUCCUACCCCGACCUGUUCGAUACCCCGUGUUGAGGUAUGUGUUAAGUUUCGAGGACGAAACUUUUUGUAGUAGGGGAGGAUGUAGUAUCCUUAAUUUUUUUUAUUCUUUAAUUUUUUUGUUGUUUUUGAGUUGGUAGACUAGGUAGUGGAUAAGGAUGCCAUGUGCAACUUUAACCUCAUGCAUCCUUAUCAAUUUAGUUUAACUGAGGUGUACAUUUUUUUAUUUACUCUCUCUCUCUCUCUAGUUCUUGAGCUAUACGUAGAGGAGGAGCUCGGGUGGUGUGGAGUGUCGUCGACGUCGCGCCGCGGUACCGUUCGAGCGUGUGUUUGUCGUCGUAGCAUCGCGAGGAGGCCGGGCGAGGGUUCGAUUCUGCCGUUUUCGAUGUCGCGCCGGAUUGUGAUUUGCGUUUGAGGUGGGUUUAUCAUCAGAUUCCUUCUCCUAUAGCUUUAUUAGUCGACAUGUAUCGUUGGUGUUGCACGUUACUAUUGUUUAGCUCAAAUCCAUGGGUAUGCAUGUUUUAGACAUAUAAACUAAAUUUGGAGCAUGUUAUUAGUUAUUAUUAAUUAUACAUGUUGGACUUGGAUUUGACAUAGGAGAAAACUAGCGUUCGAGAGCUGUCAUAUGUUAAACUACCUAAUUUAGUCUUAGGGGCCGUUGUAUUUUUAUACUGUCGCAGUAUCUUUGUGGUGAGUACCCUAGGUAGUUCAGUUUACUGUUACGCUCGUGCUAGGAUGUUGAGCCUAUUUUUACAGCAGUGUUUACACUGUUCUGGACUAGUGGGUGCCGUAGUGGUUGACGGCUGACCCGGAUUUAAUUGUUUUGAUAUCAGAUUGUGCCGAGGGCACGUGAGUAGUGGUUGAUAGUCCAGCUAGAUCCUAUUUACUUGACCUGAGCCUGUGAGAGCCAGAAUGAAAUGACAGAGACAUUUGUAACUCGUGGGUCGCACCCGCGAAUGCCAUUCCGGAAUGAGGUUUCGGUGCGAUGAGUGUCGCAGUUUCUGUUGGAUAGUUCUUGAGCCGGCCAACCCCGGGGUGGUGUACGGCGUAGUGAGAUACAGGCAGGGUGGGCCCGUUUGGGCAGCCCGGGUGAGAUAGUGAGUGACUUUUACUUGGUUAGUGUAGAGCAUGCUAGUGUAGCAAUAUGUGGCUGUAGAUUGCUUUUCAGCAUUUUCCUACUAGCUCUGUUUCUUUCUGUAGACUUAGUGG